AAAGGACAUUAUCUAACUGGUUUAUGCAUCUUAUUUCUUUCUUCUUCUCCAUUGUUUUAAAGGCCGAAAGAGAAGUCAAGAAACAUCAGAACGAUGAAAUUGCUUCUUGUGGCAUAAUUAAGUAAUACGGUCUUGCAUCCAAUGAAGAGCCAAAGAGACAUAGGGACGAUUCACACUAUGAAUCAAUUUCAAUCUCCUUUCUACAACUCAAAAUUCUAUCUUGAAGAUCGUUGUUGAAGAAUGAACAAAAGGUCUCAUGCUCACAAUCUUAUAGUUGUCUCAAGUGAUUUGUAAAAAAAUGGAGUUGGAGUUUGGCUUUAAAUCCGAACUUCAACGCCAUCUUUUUUUCAGAUUAUUUGAGACAACCAUAAGAACCUAAAAUGUGAGUUUCUUAUCUUUGAUUCGUUCUUUGCUCCACAAUCUUCAAGUGUGAGUUUUGGAUUAUAGAAAGGCGAUUUGAUUGAUUCAUGGUGAAUCAUCUUUAUAACUAGCCUACUUUUCUUGGAUUCAUGAUAGGAUGCAGAAUUAGAUAUGGUUAUAUAAAAUAGUAGAACUCCAAAAAUAAUACUACAAAGGAACAAUUCCACUACAAGUAUCUACUCUUGGUCAUUCAUUCAUACAUACAUACAUACAUGUGUAUAUUCUUUAGUUGUAUUGAAUUAUAAUAUAGCUAAGAUACUUUAUAUUACUUUCCGAUAGUCGCAUAUACAUGUGUAUAUUCUUUACACAUGAAAAUUAAAAAUACAAGUUACUAAAAUAUGAUUGUUGAUUCUCGUUAGCUAGCUAAUAAAGGUUAGAAUUUGAUGUUGAAUUAAAAGUAUAAUAAUGGUAAGGAGACCUAGUAUCUGAUUAGCAAUAGAUUUAAUUAGAAUAUGCAUGGUUAUGAGAGAAUUUCUUCUUUUCUUCUGCUUUGGUUUCUUGGCUCAAUCUCUUCAACUUUCCAGCUCUGUUUGCUCUAUGGACUCUUCUCAUGGGUGCCAUUGGGAUGGAAAUUCAAUAAUUCUUCCAAAUCGCUGCAACUAAGAACCUAAUAUCAUAAACACACAAAAUUAGCUACCUUUAACACUUAGAUCAUCAAGCAAUGUAUCAAAGGCGUGAAACAUAAUGGAAAAGAAAAGAAAAUAUAUAUACACACACACAAAUAUUCAAGUUAUCAACUCUCACAAUAAU
This 1170-nucleotide long non-coding RNA is filed under the name Nicotiana tabacum (common tobacco). RNAcentral's name for it is "long non-coding RNA (NTAB_LNC006503)". The record is from RNAcentral. Lineage: Eukaryota; Viridiplantae; Streptophyta; Magnoliopsida; Solanales; Solanaceae.